This is a long non-coding RNA of Lagopus muta (rock ptarmigan), 5088 nucleotides long. RefSeq lists it as uncharacterized. The transcript is spliced from 3 exons. Lineage: Eukaryota; Metazoa; Chordata; Aves; Galliformes; Phasianidae. The record is from RefSeq and is a predicted model, not a curated record.
UGAAACACCAUUCUUUGUGCUGUCUACUGGAGUCCUGCAUUUUGUACUCCUUUGCAAUUAAAUGCUCCUGUCUUUACCUGUGUGGGAUAAACUCUCACGGGGGAAGAUGCUGGGUCUGAUUUUCUGUUGUCUCACAACCUUCUGUAGCUGCUGGUUCAGUGCAAAAACGAUGAGGAAUACUGAAUGAACAAUUCCCAGUGGGGCAGGGGAACAGCAGCACCCAGAAGAAAGCUCAGGUGGGAGCUGCAGUCCUUCCAUGCGAAUGGGUACCCAGGAGAUAUUCGGAGCACCAGAGCCUGCCAGAACAAUCCUGCAGGGCUCCUGAUAGGACAGAGCUUAAGAACUGAAUGCAGUGACCCAUAAGCAUUGCACAGCAGAAAGGAACCUGCAUCUCUCACAAUGUUGGGAUUUAAACAAUUAUUACUCCUAAGGCGGCUGGGAAGGUACCAUGUGAUAUUGGCAUUUUUCACUUGAAGUGUUGCCCAGUGGGUUGAGCACAGGUGUUCAGCAUCAACCUGUACUUCCUGAUGGGUUGUCCCAGGGCUUUUGGAGGUGCCAGUUCACUGCUGUGUGUGAUGGAGAGGAGUAUUGGUGCAAUGGCAGAAUAAUGGCUGUUGCAAGACUGUGGUACCAUUAACGAGCUCCUUGGAGGAAAACCCUACAGAAGUGCAAAUCAUCUUACUUGCUAUUAAUUACUGGUGUAUUUAUUCAUUGCAAUAUGCGGGGCAGAUAUAGCAGGUUAUCAACUCAGCUGAUCUGCAAGCUGAUCUGCAGGAGCUUCUUGUGAUGGUCACAAGAAGGAGCUUCUAGACUUGUAGCUCUGAUUUGCUUAUGCUGGUAGGGAUGUGGAGGCAUUUUGCUUCUCCAGAUCCAGGAACAUCUCCUCGGUUUGAUUAAAAGGGGCUUUUGUGUGUACCUUCCAUCUCUUGGAAUUGAAGCAGACUUUGAGUGCUAAAUUUAUUCUGGCUGGCUUUCCUGGGUGAUUUUUGUCUACAGCCUAAAAUGGCAAAGAAGAAUACAACUGCAGGGUGCAGAUUGGCUUCCAGAGAUCAAAGUACAACUUCUUCCCUGAUCCAGAGGAGCUCAGUUAUGUGCUGCUGUGUACUGGAGGCUAUUGAACCCGACCUCCCAUUUUGGAAGCAACUUGCCCUCCUCUGCUGUCAUUUUAGAUCAUCAUAUUAUGAAGUGGAGAUUCUGCCUCCUGCUAACUAUUGUUUUGCUACAAAUAGCCUCCUUCCUUUGGGUAUCUGAGAUCUGGCAGAGAAUGAAGGAGAGGAGAUGCUGAAUCCAUGACACCACCAAAGACAACAGCUGGCCAGCCACUGUUUAAAGAAACAGUGUCUUGCAUCAUGAAACUGAAGGUAAAUCCUAUUUAUUGCAUGGGCUCCUGUCUCCAGCUUCUGACUACUAGGCCAUUUUUUGUUAACCAAACCAAAAAUCUUCAGAUUUUGGUAAUGACUUUUGAGAAAACUGCUAUGGCUAGCUGUUUUCUACAUAUUCAAACACCUAUCAUGGGUAUUUUAUUCUUUUGGGUCGGUGUGGUCAUCAAACUGACAAAUGGACAACUGAGGUAACCCUGGCUCUGAGCAUCUUUGUGUUUACAAAGUCCUCACCUUUUCGGAUGUGAAAAGUAACAGAGGAGGUUUAUGAAGGGCUGUUUUCUUCUGAUGCAGGCCCCAAUAGUAGCCCUUGCUCUUUGUCAGAUAGGUAAUGGGUCCUGAUGCCCCUGGGAUGGCUGCUAUGGUGUUGCUGGAGUCUAUAAUGUUGCUGGAGGUCCUGUUAUGGUGUGGAUCCCGCUCUUCCUGAGAAGCCUGGUGCUAAGUAAGAAUUUCAUGAAUAAGAAGAAACACAAAACACCAAAGCAAGCAAACAACAAAGCAAGUAAGGAUGUAUGCACAGCACUUGUGCUCUACUAAAACAUCUGAGUGAAAAUUGGUAGUCCACGGUGGAAUUUCUACACUGGUGUGAGAUCUGUCUGGAUCACUUCCCUUUCCUGACACAGGAAAGGCAACAUUGCCCUGCUGGUUGUGAAGCACUCUCCUGGCAGCCCCGUGCCUGUUCAAUUUGCACGUGGCCAAACUAGGUGCAGGAAAAGAGGUAUGUGCUAAGCUGACUGCCUGCUGCCCUACUCUGAGGACAAUGUCUGGGUGUCCUGGAAUUGUGGGGAAUUGCAGUUUUCAAGUAUAUCUGUGAAGCAGACCAAGGCUUGCUGAAGUUCCAAGUUUCAAGGUUUAGUAGUUGCUGCCAUUUCACACUGCUAGCAAAGUCUGUGUAUAUGUCAUAUAAUUAACACCAGAAAUUCUGACUCCUGAGGCUAUAGGGUUAAACAAGUGUGUCCCCAUUAAACUUGAAUAAUAAGAGGUUAACUCAUUAGGAAAAGAACACUCCUGAUGUGCUUAAUGGAGGGAGAGAGCAUUAACUCUUACGGUUCCUUACAAAUCCUUGUGUUAGUUUAACUUCCCUUUAAAUGUUAAUUUUUCUUCUAUAGAAUACUUUAUGAAACUCUCCAAAUGAUCUCAUGUGUUCCGUAUGAAUCCUCUUUUGAUUUCCUUGUUAUUGACAUGCUUGACUCCUCUGGAGUCUUUAAAAAUACGUCCUGCUGUGCUGAUGGCUGGUUGCAUACUUAUAAAUAAUACGCAAUGCAGAACUUCUACAGAACAAAGGCAAAUCCUGAAAACAGCUCAUUUGAAUGUCCAGUAGCAACAAGUCGUAUGUCUGUGUCUUUCCUGGUUUAUCCUUGGAGGGAAAAAAAUAAUAAUAAUAGGAGGGGAGACCUGAAGGUCCUAAGUCACAAGCAAUUGGCCUGCAAAGGUAAUAUUUUUCAUCAACGAGUUUUCAAUUGUAAAAGCACAGACAAGAGUCAUUUUGAAGAUACUGUAUUUGCAGUUCCAAAAGUAGUUAGGUUUCCAAGGGGUACACCUAGCUCAUAAACCUCUACUUGCUGUUAUGGGUCAAGGACUUGCUGUCAUACUUGGCUGGUUCUAGAAUUCAGUGCUCACUGACUCUCAUUACUGUAAAAUGGGCUUCUUGGGUCAAGCAAAAGAAAUAUAUGCAAGUGAAUACAAACAAGGCAGAAGCUUACAAACCUAAAAUUAGUUCUUAGUGGUUGUGGCAUUAUCAAAUCCUAUCCUAGUGCCUGCAGCUGCAGAAUGACUUUGGAGUUCCCAUAGUGCAGUUGUCUGUUGAAGACAGUGCAUAUUCUUGCCUGAAAAUAUGAGUCUUGUGGAGCUGAUUUCUCUCUUCACCCUGGACAAGGAUGGAGGUUGGUCAGCUCCAGUUCCUUCAGCCAUUUUGUCCCAUUCUGAGGGUUGUUGCCCAGUGGAAGUGUUUCUGGGAAGCGAGAGAUGUAUCCUUCACGUCUGGGAGAUUCUUUGGCAGAAGUCUUCCUGUCUUCAAGAAGCUUCAAAUGCUGCAGUUCUGAAUGGGGUGAGUCUGUGUCCUUCAGAACUUCUGGCACUAUGAAGACGAUAACCCUAUUGCAGGUUGUGCUACCACCACAGAAUGAGUAAUUCAAACUUUGACUCCAUAUGAUGUACAUUAUAUUAUUAACUUGUGCAGUUUCAUGUUGAAGGCCUGUGUGGGUGGGAGAAGAAGAACCCAAACUGUUCCUGACCAACUCUAGAAAUGAGCUUUGCUUAAGGAUCUGCUACAUGUUUGAAGCAGCUUUAGCUGGGAGUAGCUCUAGCUGUGAGUGAAAGUGACCAAAUGUAGGCUCAGACUGUGUAAUAAUGUUUUUCAAGGCAGAAAUAAUAAUUUAUAAUGCAUGCAGCUGUGUAAGCUCUCAGCAGAAUCAAUUGUGGAACAUUUUAUUUUGUGGAUCACCUGAGAAUAGCCUAUCUUCUCAAGGCGUGCAAGGAAGAGAUACGAGAAGUCUGGUAAACGCUUCCAAGUGAGGAGGUUUCCAAUAGCAAAUAGUAAACCAGUGAUGUCAGCCAAAGACAGGAAAUCAACGGUUUGGCUCCUGCGUCCUCCAUGGCUGUGCCUCUUUCCUGUAUGUGGGAGUGUGCCUGGAUCUGGAACUGUAUAAAUAAUCACACACCAUCAUGUUCCAUGUGGUGCAGUGGGUCUCGGAGUGCCUGGCUUCUGGGAUGCGUAGGUGCUUAGUGUAAACACUGCUGAAGAACCUGUUUUCAGUGCUGUCCCACAGAAUGAGUCUGGGAUCCGAGCUGUUCCAUAUGCUGCAGCAGAGUAGAGGAAAUAGCACCUUUUCCUUUCCUUUUUUUUUUUUUUUUUUUAAGUCACACAUUCUUUUGUUGAGUUUACUGUCUGUUAUACAGGCAAAUGAAUCUCUGCAUUCUUGUCAGGUGUUUCAUACAAGACUUCUGCAGCAGCAGCCAAAGCAUUUAGAUUAUUUUUUGUCUUUAUUUUUAUUGGCCUGGUUUCCACUUUAACAAAUUCACAGCUUGUGAACUGUUGCUGGAAGAUCUGAAUGUGCAAAGCAUUAAGGAAGCACUAAGCACAGCCAUCCUUUUAAUUUGUGUCCCGUCUCUGCUACUAAUAGUGUGUAACAUCUGACUACAGCAAUGCCUAAAGCACGGGCUCCCGUGGAGCCCCGCUGUGUAGGUGCCGUGCAGGCGGGAGGGGGAAUUCCUGCCUUCUGGGGUCUCGAGUGGGAACUCAAUGAGAAGGGCUGGGGGAAAUCGCCAUGGUGGGGAAUGAGAGGAAGCGAUUUGGUCACACGGAGGAUCAGUGAUGGAACAGGGAGCAGAAUUAGGUCUCUGCUAGGUUAUGUAGUUGUAUUUAAGCUCAUUUUCUCGCAGUGCCUUGAGGCAGACUAGGUGACUUCUUGCAGUACUUUUCUGUCCCAUUUUAUUAUGAGCCCACGGAUGGAAUUGCCUGCAUUCACUAAUUAGCAGAUUCCAGCUAAGGACAAAUCUUACUGAGGCUCACUUCAGCUUGCCUGGGGGAGACUUAGUGCUAGCCAUGACUUUUCCUUGUUUCCACUGACCAGUCCAGUCUCUAUCAACUUGGUAGUUUUGAAAACUGUGUUCAUUCCUGUUGUAGAGACAACCCCUCUGGCCAUGCAAGUUUGCAGGGAGAGGCACAGAAAAUAGGCUUGGAUAGCGACCUACCUUUCUCUGCAGUCAU